UACGUAGGGUGCGAGCGUUAAUCGGAAUUACUGGGCGUAAAGCGUGCGCAGGCGGUUUUGUAAGACAGAUGUGAAAUGCCCGGGCUUAACCUGGGAACUGCAUUUGUGACUGCAAGGCUAGAAUCUGGCAGAGGGGGGUAGAAUUCCACGUGUAGCAGUGAAAUGCGUAGAUAUGUGGAGGAAUACCGAUGGCGAAGGCAGCCCCCUGGGCUAAGAUUGACGCUCAUGCACGAAAGCGUGGGGAGCAAACAGG
Molecule: ribosomal RNA, 253 nt
Filed under: uncultured bacterium
Lineage: Bacteria
Description: partial 16S ribosomal RNA
Rfam family: Bacterial small subunit ribosomal RNA
Source: RNAcentral